AUUGAACGCUGGCGGCAGGCCUAACACAUGCAAGUCGAGCGGAUGAAGGGAGCUUGCUCCUGGAUUCAGCGGCGGACGGGUGAGUAAUGCCUAGGAAUCUGCCUGGUAGUGGGGGAUAACGUCCGGAAACGGGCGCUAAUACCGCAUACGUCCUGAGGGAGAAAGUGGGGGAUCUUCGGACCUCACGCUAUCAGAUGAGCCUAGGUCGGAUUAGCUAGUUGGUGGGGUAAAGGCCUACCAAGGCGACGAUCCGUAACUGGUCUGAGAGGAUGAUCAGGCACACUGGGACUGGGACACGGUCCAGACUCCUGCGGGAGGGAGCGGUGGGGAAUAUUGGACAAUGGGCGGAAGCGUGGUCCAGCCAUGUCGCGUGGGUGAAGAAGGGUUUGGGGUUGUAAAGCCUUUUUGUUGGGAACGAAAAGCAGCAGGUUAAUACCCCGCUGUUCUGACGGUACCCAAAGAAUAAGCACCGGCUAACUUCGUG
Molecule: ribosomal RNA, 484 nt
Filed under: uncultured bacterium
Lineage: Bacteria
Description: partial 16S ribosomal RNA
Rfam family: Bacterial small subunit ribosomal RNA
Source: RNAcentral